GUUCACAUUGGCAGCACAUACAUAAAAAUCAGGACAAUGCACAGAAGAUUAGCAUGGCCCUUCUGCAAGGAUGACACUCAAAUUUGUGAAGCGUUCCAUACUUUU
Molecule: small nuclear RNA, 105 nt
Organism: Peromyscus leucopus (white-footed mouse)
Lineage: Eukaryota; Metazoa; Chordata; Mammalia; Rodentia; Cricetidae
Source: RefSeq, a predicted model, not a curated record